GAUGAACGCUAGCUACAGGCUUAACACAUGCAAGUCGAGGGGCAUCAGGGUGUAGCAAUACACCGCUGGCGACCGGCGCACGGGUGAGUAACACGUAUCCAACCUGCCCUUUACUCGGGGAUAGCCUUUCGAAAGAAAGAUUAAUACCCGAUGGUAUAACAUGACCUCCUGGUUUUGUUAUUAAAGAAUUUCGGUAGAGGAUGGGGAUGCGUUCCAUUAGGCAGUUGGCGGGGUAACGGCCCACCAAACCUUCGAUGGAUAGGGGUUCUGAGAGGAAGGUCCCCCACAUUGGAACUGAGACACGGUCCAAACUCCUACGGGAGGCAGCAGUGAGGAAUAUUGGUCAAUGGGCGAGAGCCUGAACCAGCCAAGUAGCGUGAAGGAUGACCGCCCUAUGGGUUGUAAACUUCUUUUAUAUGGGAAUAAAGGGUGCCACGUGUGGCAUUUUGUAUGUACCAUAUGAAUAAGGAUCGGCUAACUCCGUGCCAGCAGCCGCGGUAAUACGGAGGAUCCGAGCGUUAUCCGGAUUUAUUGGGUUUAAAGGGAGCGUAGGUGGACAUGUAAGUCAGUUGUGAAAGUUUGCGGCUCAACCGUAAAAUUGCAGUUGAUACUGCGUGUCUUGAGUACAGUAGAGGUGGGCGGAAUUCGUGGUGUAGCGGUGAAAUGCUCAGAUAUCACGAAGAACUCCGAUUGCGAAGGCAGCUCACUGGACUGCAACUGACACUGAUGCUCGAAAGUGUGGGUAUCAAACAGGAUUAGAUACCCUGGUAGUCCACACAGUAAACGAUGAAUACUCGCUGUUUGCGAUAUACAGUAAGCGGCCAAGCGAAAGCAUUAAGUAUUCCACCUGGGGAGUACGCCGGCAACGGUGAAACUCAAAGGAAUUGACGGGGGCCCGCACAAGCGGAGGAACAUGUGGUUUAAUUCGAUGAUACGCGAGGAACCUUACCCGGGCUUAAAUUGCAAAUGAAUAUGCCGGAAACGGCAUAGCCGCAAGGCAUUUGUGAAGGUGCUGCAUGGUUGUCGUCAGCUCGUGCCGUGAGGUGUCGGCUUAAGUGCCAUAACGAGCGCAACCCUUAUCUUCAGUUACUAACAGGUCAUGCUGAGGACUCUGGAGAGACUGCCGUCGUAAGAUGUGAGGAAGGUGGGGAUGACGUCAAAUCAGCACGGCCCUUACGUCCGGGGCUACACACGUGUUACAAUGGGGGGUACAGAAGGCCGCUACACAGCGAUGUGAUGCCAAUCCCUAAAGCCCCUCUCAGUUCGGAUCGAAGUCUGCAACCCGACUUCGUGAAGCUGGAUUCGCUAGUAAUCGCGCAUCAGCCACGGCGCGGUGAAUACGUUCCCGGGCCUUGUACACACCGCCCGUCAAGCCAUGGGAGCCGGGGGUACCUGAAGUACGUAACCGCAAGGAGCGUCCUAGGGUA
RNAcentral lists this ribosomal RNA (1427 nucleotides) under uncultured organism. Its description in RNAcentral is "16S ribosomal RNA". It matches the Rfam family "Bacterial small subunit ribosomal RNA". The record is from RNAcentral.